RNAcentral lists this ribosomal RNA (493 nucleotides) under uncultured bacterium. RNAcentral's name for it is "partial 16S ribosomal RNA". It matches the Rfam family "Bacterial small subunit ribosomal RNA", at positions 28 to 507 of the family's 1533-position model. The record is from RNAcentral.
GACGAACGCUGGCGGCGUGCUUAACACAUGCAAGUCGAACGGAAAGGCCUGCUUUCCCUUGUGGAUUGCGGGUACUCGAGUGGCGAACGGGUGAGUAACACGUGAGUGAUCUGCCCCCAACUUGGGUAUAAGCCUGGGAAACUGGGUCUAAUUCCCGAUAGGACUGCAGGGUGGUGCCUGUGGUGGAAAACGAUUUUCUAGUGGUUGGGGAUGAGCUCGCGGCCUAUCAGCUUGUUGGUGGGGUAAUGGCCUACCAAGGCGGCGACGGGUAGCCGGCCUGGGAGGGUGGACGGCCACAUUGGGACUGAGAUACGGCCCAGACUCCUACGGGAGGCAGCAGUGGGGAAUAUUGCACAAUGGGCGGAAGCCUGAUGCAGCGACGCCGCGUGGGGGAUGACGGCCUUCGGGUUGUAAACUCCUUUCGACCGCGAGGAAGCCACCUGUUGGAAGGGUGGUGACGGUAGUGGGAGAAGAAGCACCGGCUAACUACGUG